This 479-nucleotide ribosomal RNA is filed under the name uncultured bacterium. Its description in RNAcentral is "partial 16S ribosomal RNA". It matches the Rfam family "Bacterial small subunit ribosomal RNA", at positions 28 to 507 of the family's 1533-position model. The record is from RNAcentral.
GAUGAACGCUGGCGGCGUGCUUAACACAUGCAAGUCGAACGAAGCACCUUGAUUUGAUUCUUCGGAUGAAGAUCUUGGUGACUGAGUGGCGGACGGGUGAGUAACGCGUGGGUAACCUGCCUCAUACAGGGGGAUAACAGUUAGAAAUGACUGCUAAUACCGCAUAAGACCACAGCACCGCAUGGUGCAGGGGUAAAAACUCCGGUGGUAUGAGAUGGACCCGCGUCUGAUUAGGUAGUUGGUGGGGUAACGGCCUACCAAGCCGACGAUCAGUAGCCGACAUGAGAGGGUGACCGGCCACAUUGGGACUGAGACACGGCCCAAACUCCUACGGGAGGCAGCAGUGGGGAAUAUUGCACAAUGGGGGAAACCCUGAUGCAGCGACGCCGCGUGAGCGAUGAAGUAUUUCGGUAUGUAAAGCUCUAUCAGCAGGGAAGAAAAUGACGGUACCUGACUAAGAAGCACCGGCUAAAUACGUG